Coturnix japonica (Japanese quail) is the source of this 1690-nucleotide long non-coding RNA. The record is from Ensembl. Lineage: Eukaryota; Metazoa; Chordata; Aves; Galliformes; Phasianidae.
UCCGCCAGGUGGCGCUGGAGUUCGAGGAGCAUUUGAACGUGGCGUUCAGCGUCGUGUCGGCCUCGUGCCAGACGGUGCACGAGUACCUGGGGGGGUACGUGUGCAUGGGGGGGCGCACGGCGGGACGGCAAAUGGACACGGAGCUGUUCCACAAGCUCACGGGGGGGAACGAGGAGCAGUGAGGGGGGGGGAGUCGUGCAAAGGGGGCCUGGUGCGAGAGGUACUUGUGUAAGGGGUCAUUGUGCGAGAGAUGAUUGUGUAAGGGGGUCAUUGUGCGAGAGAUGCUUGUGUAAGGGGUCAUUGUGCAAGAGAUGCUUGUGCAAGAGAUGCUUGUGCAAGAGAUCCUUGUGCAAAGGGGUCCUUGUGCGAGAGAUCCUUGUGCAAGAGAUACUUGUGCGAGAGAUGCUUGUGCAAGGGGUCCUGGUGCGAGAGAUCAUUGUGGAAAUGAGUUCUUGUGCAAGAGAUGAUUGUGCAAGAGAUGAUUGUGCAAAGGGGUCCUUGUGCAAAGGUGUCCUUGUGCAAGAGAUCCUUGUGUUAAGGGGUCCUGGUGCGAGAGAUACUUGUGUAAAUGGGUUAUUGUGUGAGAUCCUUGAGCAAAGGGGGCCUGGUGUGAGAGGUCCUUGUGCAAAGAGGUCCUUGUGCAAGAGAUCCUUGUGCAAAGGGGUCCUUUUGCGAGAGAUCCUUGUGUGAGAUAUUGUGCGAGAGAUCCUUGUGCAAAUGAGUUAUUGUGCGAGAGAUCCUUGUGCAAAGGGGCCCUUGUGUAAAAGAUCCUUGUGCAAUUGAGUUCCUGUGCAAGAGGUCCUUGUGCAAAGAGAUCCUUGUGCAAGAGAUCCUCUUGUGUCGGGCUCCAUGUGCAAGUGAUUCUUGUGUUAAUGGUUCCUUGUGUAAGAGAUCCUUGUGUAAGACACCCUACUGCAGUGGACUCCUUGUGCAAGAGAUCAAUGUGUGCAAGGCUACUUGUGCAAAAGAUACUUGUGCAAAGGGCUCCUUGUGCAAGAGAUCCGUGUGCAAAUGGCUCCUUGUGCAACAAUUCCUCGUGCAAAGAGCUCAUGGUACAAGAGAUCGUUGUGCAAAUGGAUCCUUGUGCAAGACAUCCUUGUGCAAAGGGCUCCUGGUGCAAGAGAUCCUCGUGCAAAUAAUUUCUUUUGCAAGAGAUCCUUGUGUUAAGGGUUCCUAGUGUAAGAGAUCCACGUGCAAGCGGCUCCUUGUGCAAGAGAUCCACGUGCAAAGGGCUCCUUGUGCAAGCAAACCUUGUGCAAAUGGAUCCUUGUGCAAGAGAUCCUUGUGCAACGGGUUCCUUGUGUAAAGAGAUCCUUGUGUUAAGGGUUCCGUGUGCAAGAGGCCCAUGUGCAAAUGGAUCCUUGUGCAAGCAAGCCUUGUGCAAAGGGCUCCUGGUGCAAGAGAUCCUACUGCAAAUGGAUCCUUGUGCAAGAGAUCCUUGUGCAAAGGGCUCCUGGUACAAGAGAUCCUUGUGCAAAUAAUUUCUUGUGUUAAGGGUUCCUAGUGUAAGAGAUCCACGUGCAAGGGGCUCCUUGUGCAAGAGAUCCUAGUGCAAAUGGAUCCUUGUGCAAGACAUCCUCGUGCAAAGGGCUCCUUAUACAAACAACCCUCGUGCAAAUCAUCCUCGUGCAAACCAUCCUCGUGCAAAAGAACCCCCCUUUGUUUAAAUGGCUCCUCGUGCAAACCCCCC